UCUGUGUGGGAUAAUCCGAA
RNAcentral lists this microRNA (20 nucleotides) under Anolis carolinensis (green anole). Its description in RNAcentral is "aca-miR-5407-3p". The record is from miRBase by way of RNAcentral. Lineage: Eukaryota; Metazoa; Chordata; Lepidosauria; Squamata; Anolidae.